AUACGAAGGGGGCUAGCGUUGUUCGGAAUUACUGGGCGUAAAGCGCAUGUAGGCGGACCAUCAAGUUGGAGGUGAAAGCCCAAGGCUCAACCUUGGAAUUGCCUUCAAAACUGGUGGUCUGGAGCAUAUUAGAGGCAGGUGGAAUUCCGAGUGGAGAGGUGAAAUUCGUAGAUAUUCGGAGGAACACCGGUGGCGAAGGCGACCUGCUGGGAUAUUGCUGACGCUGAGAUGCGAAAGCGUGGGGAGC
RNAcentral lists this ribosomal RNA (247 nucleotides) under uncultured bacterium. Its description in RNAcentral is "partial 16S ribosomal RNA". It matches the Rfam family "Bacterial small subunit ribosomal RNA", at positions 523 to 769 of the family's 1533-position model. The record is from RNAcentral.